AGAGCAGAGAGAGACAACAGGUUGGAGGAUCUGAACAGACUCCAGGACAGCUGGAGGAUAGAGAGCAGAGAGAGACAACAGGUUGGAGGAUCUGAGCAGACUCCAGGACAGCUGGAGGACAGAGAGCAGAGAGAGACAACAGGUUGGAGGAUCUGAACAGACUCCAGGACAGCUGGAGGAUAGAGAGCAGAGAGAGACAACAGGUUGGAGGAUCUGAACAGACUCCAGGACAGCUGGAGGAUAGAGAGCAGAGAGAGACAACAGGUUGGAGGAUCUGAACAGACUCCAGGACAGCUGGAGGAUAGAGAGCAGAGAGAGACAACAGGUUGGAGGAUCUGAACAGACUCCAGGACAGCUGGAGGAUAGAGAGCAGAGAGAGACAACAGGUUGGAGGAUCUGAACAGACUCCAGGACAGCUGGAGGAUAGAGAGCAGAGAGAGACAACAGGUUGGAGGAUCUGAACAGACUCCAGGACAGCUGGAGGAUAGAGAGCAGAGAGAGACAACAGGUUGGAGGAUCUGAACAGACUCCAGGACAGCUGGAGGAUAGAGAGCAGAGAGAGACAACAGGUUGGAGGAUCUGAACAGACUCCAGGACAGCUGGAGGACAGAGAGCAGAGAGAGACAACAGGUUGGAGGAUCUGAACAGACUCCAGGACAGCUGGAGGACAGAGAGCAGAGAGAGACAACAGGUUGGAGGAUCUGAGCAGACUCCAGGACAGCUGGAGGAUAGAGAGCAGAGAGAGACAACAGGUUGGAGGAUCUGAACAGACUCCAGGACAGCUGGAGGACAGAGAGCAGAGAGAGACAACAGGUUGGAGGAUCUGAACAGACUCCAGGACAGCUGGAGGAUAGAGAGCAGAGAAAGACAACAGGUUGGAGGAUCUGAACAGACUCCAGGACAGCUGGAGGAUAGAGAGCAGAGAGAGACAACAGGUUGGAGGAUCUGAACAGACUCCAGGACAGCUGGAGGAUAGAGAGCAGAGAGAGACAACAGGUUGGAGGAUCUGAACAGACUCCAGGACAGC
Long non-coding RNA from Oncorhynchus keta (chum salmon), 1027 nucleotides. RefSeq lists it as uncharacterized. Lineage: Eukaryota; Metazoa; Chordata; Actinopteri; Salmoniformes; Salmonidae. The record is from RefSeq and is a predicted model, not a curated record. The transcript has 4 exons.